ACAACUGUCAUCUCCAAUUGCAGGUGUCACCAAUCCUGCUCCUGGAGAGCAGCUGCCCGGUAUGUUUUUCACAUCUACCUACUCAAGUCACACCUGAUUUUUGAAAAUUGGUGUUUUCCACC
This is a long non-coding RNA of Thalassophryne amazonica, 122 nucleotides long. RefSeq lists it as uncharacterized. The transcript is spliced from 3 exons. Lineage: Eukaryota; Metazoa; Chordata; Actinopteri; Batrachoidiformes; Batrachoididae. The record is from RefSeq and is a predicted model, not a curated record.